GGGUGACGUUCGAUGGCCCGUUGCGAAAAGGAGAAGCUUCGCGGGUCGGGUCCGGGAGACGCAGCGUAUCAGCUGCAAGGGGAGAGGGUACUUCCGCCAGGAUGGCCCAAUCGCAGUGGUAGGGCAGUUUCUAUAAAAGCUUGAGCCUUGGGCUCCCCGUUCUUUUGGGAUCGAGUGCGGGUCUGGCGUGUUUGCUCUUGCUGGCGCCGUCCGCUAAGGUCAUGGGCGCACUGGGCCCCGAGUGGGUUUGAGGGGGUCCCCCAAGUCUGCAGGCCCGCCUGGCCCUCUUCCGCCUCGGUGUUGUUCAUGUUUUUUGCUCCGCCUUCCCCAACCCCACCCCCUCGUUGGGUCGGAGAAGUCCGAACCUCCAGACCUCCAUCUCCCGGCAGGGCGGUGGGUGACCCGGCCAGAGGCCGUGAACGUGAGUCGACGUCAGCCCAGAGGCCUGGUGGUAAGGCGGGAGCCCGUGUCGGUCUGGGAAGCGCUGAGCAAUAAAGCAAAAGUGGUGAGUUGAUUGGAA
This is a long non-coding RNA of Mirounga angustirostris (Northern elephant seal), 520 nucleotides long. RefSeq lists it as uncharacterized. The record is from RefSeq and is a predicted model, not a curated record. Lineage: Eukaryota; Metazoa; Chordata; Mammalia; Carnivora; Phocidae. The transcript is spliced from 2 exons.